ACUAAUUGAAGUUAUCUCUCUCCCUAGCUACUUCCUAACACAUGAGAGAUUAUAUGUUGAGAUAUUAUCCUUUAGGCCAAUAAUGGAGUCCCAUGGCCUGAGAUAUUAUCUGUGUAAUGAAGUUAUUCUGCUUUAACCCAUUAAUAUUAUCCGUUAUAGUUUGACCCAUGUGUUAUAAAUUAAAUGUUAGGUAUUGAGAUAUUAUUAAACAUUUAAUCAAUGUAGUAUAUCAUAACAUUUAAUCAAUUAAAACUAAAUGUUGUCUGCUAUGAUACCAUGUGAAGUUAUUUGGGACCAAUUCAUUUAAAGGCUUAAUUGUUUUAGAGAGAGGUAAUUUUAUUUAGCCUUUCUGCACAUCCCCCUUUAUUUUUAGUGAUUUGUUGUGCCUUUGGGUUGAAUACCUGCGUUGUGUUGACAAUAUUACUCAUUUAUUUAUCGAGAUUUCUUGGGUGCGUGACAUGAUAUGGAUUCUUCUUUGUUUAGUCGCUAAUGGGUUGAGAUUAAUUUUAUGGGUUUUAGAGUCCUUUGCUGUAGUAUCGUCGCUCUGAUGAUGCAGUGUCAAUGUAUCAUUUGAAGAAGAUGAACUGGUCACUUGGGGUUGUAAAUUAAAUUAUAACUUGACAGAGCAGGAUGGAAAAAACGAAAUCGAUUCACGUAGCCAAUCCCAAUUGAUUGUAACAUAAGGCUUAGUUUGGUUUGAUUAGGUUUCUGGGUAGAUGAUUAAUUUGUCUAAGCGAAGAUAAUUAUUGCUCAUGUUUAUCUGCUUUACUCUUGACUUUUAGUCUAAAAUUCUAUACUUUUUUUUUAAUCAAUGUUAAUUUUUUUUUUUUUUGGGGAGGGGGGGAAUGGUGCCAAAUCAAAUGGUGGAUUUUGCCAGGUGCAUUAGGCUGUUGUACCUUGCUUUGCUUCAGAAAAAGCAAGCAUUGCCUGUCCGCAGGAGUUGUGAAAAUAUCCUAAUUGGAGAUGGAGGGUCAAAAUAAUAUGACUGUGAGUUCACUGAAUGCUCUUCAGCAGAGAAAUGUCAACUUCAAAUGCUAGCGGCAGUACCUCAGAUCAUUUGAAGAACAAAGUGUAAAUGGACAACAUACCAACCGUCACCGAACAACUUCGAAGUAUGGGUGAACACUUGCAAUUUCAAAGCGAACAACUUCAAAUUCAAAGCACGCAGAUGCAAAAAUUUCAGACAGACUUAAGUCGAAGUUGGUGUUGCAUUUAUGAGAUCUUUUGCUUCCUUGUAAUUAUUGUUGUAUUAGUUACGAAUAUGUAAUAAUUUAAAUAACAGUUAGAAGUUGAAAUAGAUGAUAUGUAUGAAAAUUUAUGAUAUAUGACAGUUAUUUUGGAGGAGUAUAAACAUGUAAUCUGUUAUCUGUUUGUUUGUUUGUUUGAAGAAUGUUUGAACACAGGUUGUUAAAAUUAUGUUUGUUUGUUGGAGGAAUGCUUGAACACGGGUUGUUAUA
Non-coding RNA from Camellia sinensis, 1457 nucleotides. The record is from RefSeq and is a predicted model, not a curated record. NCBI's taxonomy places the organism in Eukaryota, Viridiplantae, Streptophyta, Magnoliopsida, Ericales, Theaceae.